RNAcentral lists this long non-coding RNA (225 nucleotides) under Nicotiana benthamiana. RNAcentral describes it as "long non-coding RNA (NBEN_LNC034942)". Lineage: Eukaryota; Viridiplantae; Streptophyta; Magnoliopsida; Solanales; Solanaceae. The record is from RNAcentral.
UUUAAUGUAAUGUUUAUUUGGAACUGUCACAGUUGACUCAAAUUUGAUUGGCAAAUUAUACCGUUGAAUUAAAUUUGUAGUUAAUUGUAGUUUUUAGUUGUUUAAUGUAGUUUAAUGUAAUGUUUAUUUGGAACUGUCAGUGUUGACUCAAAUUUGAUUGGCAAAUUAUACUAUUGAAUCAAAUUUGUAGUUAAUUGAGUUUUUUGUAGUUUAAUGUAGUUUCAU